RNAcentral lists this transfer RNA (73 nucleotides) under Ameiurus melas (black bullhead). It matches the Rfam family "tRNA". Rfam says of the family: Transfer RNA (tRNA) molecules are approximately 80 nucleotides in length. Their secondary structure includes four short double-helical elements and three loops (D, anti-codon, and T loops). Lineage: Eukaryota; Metazoa; Chordata; Actinopteri; Siluriformes; Ictaluridae. The record is from Rfam by way of RNAcentral.
GGCGUCAUAGCUCAGUGGUUAGAGCACUGGUCUUCAUAACCAGGAGUAGUGAGCUCAAUCCUCACUGGAGCCU